This 395-nucleotide ribosomal RNA is filed under the name uncultured bacterium. Its description in RNAcentral is "bacterial SSU rRNA". It matches the Rfam family "Bacterial small subunit ribosomal RNA", at positions 362 to 773 of the family's 1533-position model. The record is from RNAcentral.
UCUUGCCCAAUGGGCGCAAGCCUGAGGCAGCAACGCCGCGUGCGGGAAGAAGGCUCUCGGGUUGUAAACCGCUUUCAGCAGGAACGAAACUGACGGUACCUGCAGAAGAAGGUGCGGCCAACUACGUGCCAGCAGCCGCGGUGACACGUAGGCACCAAGCGUUGUCCGGAUUUAUUGGGCGUAAAGAGCUCGUAGGCGGUUCGGUAAGUCGGGUGUGAAAUCCCUGGGCUCAACCCAGGAAGUGCACCCGAUACUGCUGUGACUUGAGUACGGUAGGGGAGUGCGGAAUUCCUGGUGUAGCGGUGGAAUGCGCAGAUAUCAGGAGGAACACCAAUGGCGAAGGCAGCACUCUGGGCCGAAACUGACGCUGAGGAGCGAAAGCGUGGGGAGCGAAC